Molecule: ribosomal RNA, 277 nt
Filed under: uncultured bacterium
Lineage: Bacteria
Description: partial 16S ribosomal RNA
Rfam family: Bacterial small subunit ribosomal RNA
Source: RNAcentral
CGUCGUCGCCGGNGACGGCGCACGGGUGAGUAACACGUAUGCAACCUGCCCGUGGCAGGGGGAUAAGCGGGGGAAACCCCGUCUAAUACCGCGUAACGCGGCCUUGGGGCAUCCCAAGGCCGCCAAAGGGAGCAAUCCCGGCCACGGAUGGGCAUGCGGCGCAUUAGCUAGUCGGCGGGGUAACGGCCCACCGAGGCGACGAUGCGUAGGGGUUCUGAGAGGAAGGCCCCCCACACUGGUACUGAGACACGGACCAGACUCCUACGGAAGGCAGCAG